GGGGUCGAUUCAGGUUUCGACUACGAACAUUACGCCAGGGGAAGCGUGCCGGUGCAGGCUAGAGACCACCGCAAGCGUCGCAGCAACUCAUAAGCGCCGAGAACACUCAGCGCGACUACGCUCUCGCUGCCUAAUACAGCGAUACGCGUGUCUGUCAGACCGGAAUCGUCCCUGGUCCGGACCCUGGCAUCGACUAAGGGACUUGCCGCUUUAUUUGGUUAACGAGGUACAGCGGGACUUUCAUCGUUAACUGUGGCCCAUCAUCCAGGAGGGUUCGUCCGAGCUGGAGGGUCAGAGUAAAAGAUCGUGCACGAACUGCGCACGGAGAAGCCCUGGCAACAUGGCGUAGGACCCGGGUUCAAUUCCCGGCGGCUCCACGC
This is a non-coding RNA of Corynebacterium matruchotii ATCC 14266, 380 nucleotides long. It matches the Rfam family "transfer-messenger RNA". Rfam says of the family: Bacterial tmRNA, also known as 10Sa RNA or SsrA, is named for its dual tRNA and mRNA-like properties. Its role is to liberate the mRNA from a stalled ribosome. NCBI's taxonomy places the organism in Bacteria, Bacillati, Actinomycetota, Actinomycetes, Mycobacteriales, Corynebacteriaceae. The record is from Rfam.